CCUAUGACAUAUUUAAAUGGCCGCAGUACUCUGACUGUGCAAAGGUAGCAUAAUCACUUGCCUCUUAAUUAGAGGCUGGAAUGAAAGAGGCGACGAAAUCUAGACUAUUUAAGUUUCAAGUUAAAUUGACAAGCUGGUCAAAAGGCCCGCAUACACCGGGGGGACGACAAGACCCUAUAAAACUUCACUCUUUUGGGUUGUACCUGUCAGAACUGUACUACUACUAGAGUUAAACUGGGGCGGUAUCUGUAUAAACAACUGUAUUUAUAAUAUGUUAAAUAACGAGCAAGAACUCUUUAUGAAAUAGAACAAGUUACUUUAGGGAUAACAGCGUAAUUCUCCCAGAUAGCCCUGAUUGGCGGGGGAGCUUACGACCUCGAUGUUGAAUUGGGGAUCCUUGUAUAAGCAGAAAUAUAUGAAGACAGUCUGUUCGACUGUUAAAUCCCC
Molecule: ribosomal RNA, 447 nt
Filed under: Proasellus deminutus
Lineage: Eukaryota; Metazoa; Arthropoda; Malacostraca; Isopoda; Asellidae
Description: partial 16S ribosomal RNA
Rfam family: Archaeal large subunit ribosomal RNA
Source: RNAcentral